ACACCUCAACUCUUUAUGGUUUUCCAUGAUGAGCUUGGACUCUGGGGGUCUUGCUGGCCUGUGGUCGGCUCCUCUCAAAUGAAUCAGCUUGCCGGUGUUUGGUGGGCAUCACAGGUGUGAUAACUAUCUACGCUUGUGGUCUUCCACCAGGGUAACCUUCAGCAGUGGAGGUUCACUGGAGCUCACAAAUGUCUCUCCUCAGUGGGGACAGCCCUUUAAAU
RNAcentral lists this unclassified non-coding RNA (221 nucleotides) under uncultured Tomentella. RNAcentral's name for it is "partial internal transcribed spacer 2". The record is from RNAcentral. Lineage: Eukaryota; Fungi; Basidiomycota; Agaricomycetes; Thelephorales; Thelephoraceae.